GUGGGGAAUAUUGGACAAUGGGCGAAAGCCUGAUCCAGCCAUGCCGCGUGUGUGAAGAAGGUCUUCGGAUUGUAAAGCACUUUAAGUUGGGAGGAAGGGCAGUAAGUUAAUACCUUGCUGUUUUGACGUUACCAACAGAAUAAGCACCGGCUAACUUCGUGCCAGCAGCCGCGGUAAUACGAAGGGUGCAAGCGUUAAUCGGAAUUACUGGGCGUAAAGCGCGCGUAGGUGGUUCAGCAAGUUGAAGGUGAAAUCCCCGGGCUCAACCUGGGAACUGCCUACAAAACUGCAUGACUAGAGUACGGUAGAGGGUAGUGGAAUUUCCUGUGUAGCGGUGAAAUGCGUAGAGAUAGGAAGGAACACCAGUGGCGAAGGCGACUACCUGGACUGAUACUGACACUGAGGUGCGAAAGCGUGGGGAGCAAACAGGAUUAGAAACCCCGGUAGUCC
This 450-nucleotide ribosomal RNA is filed under the name uncultured bacterium. Its description in RNAcentral is "partial 16S ribosomal RNA". It matches the Rfam family "Bacterial small subunit ribosomal RNA", at positions 354 to 796 of the family's 1533-position model. The record is from RNAcentral.